GGGAUAUCGUUUCACAAAGGAUAAAACACGCAAACGAAACUCGUUUUGGUCCUGCACGCAGGCUAAGGUUUUGAAUUGUGUAGCUAGGGCCUCAACGUGCUACGCCACGCCUGAUAAUUCGUUUCAAAAUGUCGCACUCAGGGGAGCGCAUAAUCACUCGAUCAUAACUGAGCGGCGGAAACCGGGUAUGCGAGCGAAACUCAUCAGAGAUCUAAAACGAGAGAAGGAACUUUCAACAAUUAAGCCUCGUACGAAAGAUAAAGUGUUUGUCAAACGAAAAUAAACUGUAAAGCAAAUUGUCCAAAGCACACACCAGCAGUCAGUUAUUACCACCGGCGUUCAAUCGGGCUGCACGGACGUUAUUUCGUACAAAACAACCAAUCGUGGCACAAUUCAAUUGGUUGUUAAUAAUUUCCCUUAUACGAAACAAGUGGAGCGACAAAACGCAAUCUAUUGGAAAUGCUGUCAGGCGAAACCUUUAAG
This is a long non-coding RNA of Anopheles cruzii, 483 nucleotides long. RefSeq lists it as uncharacterized. NCBI's taxonomy places the organism in Eukaryota, Metazoa, Arthropoda, Insecta, Diptera, Culicidae. The transcript has 3 exons. The record is from RefSeq and is a predicted model, not a curated record.